AGGGUUCGAUCAUGGCUCAGGAUAAACGCUAGCGGCAGGCCUUACACAUGCAAGUCGAGGGGUAAAAUAUCUUCGGAUAUUUGAGACCGGCGCACGGGUGCGUAACACGUAUGCAACCUGCCUUUUACUGGGGAAUAGCCCGAAGAAAUUCGGAUUAAUGCCCCAUAUGCUCGCACAAUCGCAUGAUUGAGCGAGGAAAGCUCCGGCGGUAAAAGAUGGGCAUGCGUCCUAUUAGCUUGUUGGUGAGGUAAUGGCUCACCAAGGCUACGAUAGGUAGGGGACCUGAGAGGGUGAACCCCCACACUGGUACUGAGACACGGACCAGACUCCUACGGGAGGCAGCAGUGAGGAAUAUUGGGCAAUGGAGGAAACUCUGACCCAGCCAUGCCGCGUGCAGGAAGACGGCCCUCUGGGUUGUAAACUGCUUUUAUAUGGGAAUAAACCCUUCCACGUGUGGAAGGCUGAAGGUACCAUAAGAAUAAGGAUCGGCUAACUCCGUGCCAGCCGCCGCG
RNAcentral lists this ribosomal RNA (512 nucleotides) under uncultured bacterium. RNAcentral's name for it is "bacterial SSU rRNA". It matches the Rfam family "Bacterial small subunit ribosomal RNA", at positions 8 to 519 of the family's 1533-position model. The record is from RNAcentral.